RNAcentral lists this long non-coding RNA (372 nucleotides) under Carica papaya (papaya). Its description in RNAcentral is "long non-coding RNA (CPAP_LNC008180)". The record is from RNAcentral. Lineage: Eukaryota; Viridiplantae; Streptophyta; Magnoliopsida; Brassicales; Caricaceae.
AUGGAAUCUGUAAAUUUUUUUUGGGUUUUAAUUUGGGACAUUUGCAUAAAAACUUACCUAAGGCUUACGUCACGGGUCCCUUAAUAACCACAUAAUCCACAUCAGCCACUGCCCCAUAACAAUCCACCCUGUCUUUGGCAAAUUCAUAAGAGGGAGGAGCCACUAACUAGCCUUGAGACUUUGAGACUUCACCUGAUAGAGAAACUGAACAAGAUAAAGGAAUUGACCCAAGCAGUAGCGAGAGCUUUGAGGGUCGCUUCUCGACCCAAGAAAAGAUGAUAACUCCUAGUUUUGCUCCAUCUCCAAGAGAAGUAACUAGGGGAGUUCGUCUGUCCCUUCACUUUUUAUUUAAUUGCUUAUCAUUUAUAACAC